Rattus norvegicus (Norway rat) is the source of this 11523-nucleotide non-coding RNA. NCBI's taxonomy places the organism in Eukaryota, Metazoa, Chordata, Mammalia, Rodentia, Muridae. The record is from RefSeq and is a predicted model, not a curated record.
CGGCUCUGGAGGACAAAACAAUACACUUUAGCUUAUUAUCAAAGGAACGGCGAGAAUUUCAGGAAACACGGACCAUGCCCACUGAGCUGAAAUCGAUUCAAAGGGUAGAGGUGUCCCUGGCUGCAAUCUGCAGGGAAACUUACUCUCUUACAACUUCUAUUUGCUUUCUUUAGUGUGGAAGUUUAGGCGUUUGGUAAGCUUCCCUUCUCAGAGCUUUGGAAGAGAUAUCUUCACAGACACAGAGCUAGAGGGGUGAGGACACUGUCUAAGGAGGUAGGUUUAUCUAAAGCCUAACGCAGGGCUAGGUCAUCUUGCCUAUGUAAUGAGCUUCGGGCCAGCCUGGGCUACAUGAGAACCUGUCUCAGGAAAACAAAGCCAAGUAAAGCCAAACAGUAUAACAUGUUCCAACGUAGCGGUGUACUGCAUCCGGGCAACUGGCAGGAAACCCUUGGUUCCAUUCAUUAUGUUUGGUUUUCCUGUCUGGCUGGCCACAGGACGGGACAUGUGUACCUGGACUCUCAGCUUUAUCUCUCCUUGAGGAGAAGCCAUCUAAGCGUUUGUUUAUAGCAACUAGCUAGCAGGUUUUCAUGUGGGCAAAGAAUGUACUGGUAUGGAGAACUGAGCCAAAAUGACCAUGGUUCUAUUAAAAAAAAACACACACACGAGCAGAGCGGACAUUCCACUUUGACACACAUCUGUCUGUGUAAGAUGCUGCAAACUGAAGACCAGGCCCUCCUGCGUCAGGCUCAACAACUUAAAGAAGUUGAUCUGGGAAUCUUCCCCGCGCUCCUUCCUUAAGUGCAAACACUGACAGGUAUGUUAAACGAUUCUUGUUCCGUUCUUUGCUCAGUUCCAAGAUUUAUAGGAGCUCUAAUUUGAAGCCUGGCAGAAAUGUCCCCGUACAGACAGCAGGGGUUUCCCCCACAAAAUUUCAUUAUAAUUGUUUCCAGGCCCCAGGGCAAAUUCUUAUAAGGAAGCAGAUAUUUAAAAAUAACGCUCGCAUUCUCUUUUCCUUUUAAAACUUCGGAAAGUGGAUUCUCCCGCCUCGGUUUGUUUUUGAGAAGGCAGAUGUGCUGGCUUGUUUCCUUCUGAGCAGCUUUCGCACAUGGAUUUGGUCGAUGUUAUUAGAGACCAUGUUUUCACAAACAGUCGGAAACAAAUCCAGUCUCUCCUCAGCCACACCAUUUUCCCCAGUGCGGUAGAGCGCUUCUGUUAGACGGUAGAGCAUGUGAAUUGAAAUACCAAGGACAUCGUCUUGGGAAGGAGCUGUGCGUGUGGAUGGGUCUAAUUCUCAUGGGAAGUGGUGGGCUAGGGGUUGAUGGCGAUUGAACUUUUCCAUCCUGCUUCAAGGACUAGUGACCUUUUUAAACAGCCUAUCGCAGGACAGCAAUCUUAAAGGUAAAAAAAAAGAGAGACUGGAGACAUGUAUAAAAUCUUUUGAAGAGGUGACCUGGCUACGUUGGAGACAAGGAGACCGUGUAUGGAUUGCCAAGGGAUGCUUCUCUGAGGAAUACUGAGUCCAAUUCAGUUCACAAUGAGAAUGCAGCUUGGCAUAGAAAGAAAAGCUCUUUACCUCUUCAGACUGUGACUCCUUCAGCGGCUUCCAGGGACAACUUGCCUGAGUUACCUGAGAAACUUGGACACGUGCGCAUUCCUGGGAUGCAGGCCAGAUCUACGGAGCCUGUUCCCGUGCAGUUGCGCGCAGAACCGGUUUCACUACACCCGCUUGCAGAUGCUGUGUAAGUGCGGACGACUGGGAAGGCUCCCUUUCGGGAACUCUUUAACCUACAUAUUAAUUUAGAAGCCCCGCCCUGCAAUAGUAAACCAGCAGGGGUAGCUCCCUGAAUGUGUGGAGUGAAGAAAGGGCGAUCGCUUUCCUGUUGUGCUCCUGCACUCUGUGAAUUAUUUCGUAUGGGGCCAAGGCACUCAACCAAGAUAGCGCUACAUCGACAAAUAAGUUCAUUUUUCUCUGUUACAAGACUAUGAGGGAUGUUACUUGGAUGCAAACUGUGCACUGUUUCCUUCUUCCCUCAUCAGAGGGUCAUAAUCAGCCAGCCACAACUAGGAAUAUACAAAGGAAAUUGACUAUUUCAUGUAUGUCAUGUAUUCAAUAAUAUUUAUAUCACGGGAAGAUAAAUAGGUACUUUAAAGCUAGCUACGGGAGAUAGUGAGGGACAAAUCUCAGUAAAGCCAUAAACUCUUUUAACAGGGGGCAGAGAUUCUGGAUUUGCCAACCAUUAAUUCAUUUUCUCUUUGUUUUUAACCAGAAUGUUGUUCAGUGUGAGCGCCAUGGAGUGUUUAUCUUCGGGGACAAACAUUGUCCUUGAAAGUCCAGAAUCUAUAUGUUCUCAUCUGUAGGUAUUUGCCGAAAGUAAAAUCACUUCUGUUUUAACAAAGAAGGAAGAAAAAAUCAAGCAGCUAAUGUUCACAUGAAUUCAUUCGUUUCAUCAUUCAGCAAAUAGUUAUUGACUUACUAUGUGCAUAGCUAAAUAAGAUAAGAUCUCUUGGAAAAGCUCGUAGCUUAAAAUCCUGAGAGCAGGGGAUAAAAGACCCGCCAAGGGGCUGGAGUGCGGGAAUCCAGACUGGUCAGGAACUCUACUCCUGCUUUAGAGAACCCUUGCUUGAGUCUCGGUGAAGGCAACAUAAUUAGACAGCUAAAUGGGGUCCUUGAAGGUAGUGUUUAAGGGUGAGCAGUGGGCAGGCAGUCUCCGUGGACAUUCUGGGACUAAGGCAGAAAGGAUCCCUUCUGAUAUUUAUCACAGACGGUCCCCCACUCAGUUCCUGAGAUUCUGAUUUGGGACACACACCCUGGAAGUAUUCGUGAGCUCGGUCAUUAGCAUCUCCAUCUAAUUCCCUCUCUGUUGAACCAAGCUGUCAUAGGCUUACUAAAGAAGCACUAAGUGUUUACAGACCACCGUUAUGAUCUGGUUCGUUCUGCUUCUUCUUAGUGUAUCUUUUGUCCGGGGGCGGGGUGUUGGUCAUCCCUUCCUCACCAUUGUUAAGCAGGGUGUGUCGACAUCCGGUUUCUUUAUGCAAUUAUGUUUUUAGGAUCUGCGAUAGUUUUGUCUACUAAAAUGAUUACCCUCGAACUACCGAGGCUGCUGCUCCAGAUAUUUUAACAAAGAGACUAUACAAAGGGCGCUGGUGACUCUCAAUUAAGAAUGUGAUGAGUUGAAGGUAGCUGAAGUGAAGCGAGUUGAAGUCAGCGAGUCAUUCCAGAUUCUUUCUGAGAUGCCCCUAAUUCCUUUGUAACAUCCUUCUAAUUGCAGCAUAUAAACAGAGACAAAACGUGAGUUAGACCCUGUACACGGCAGAUUAAUCUUGUCCUUUUCUGGUUAAAACCGUUUAAAUUCUCGCUUCUAGUACAGUUGAACAAAACAGAGUGCUCUAGUCUUCGGUGCUUGGCUGACUAGCUUUUGGCCUUCCUCCUUCACGAAAUGUUUGCUUUUAGUUGGAGAUGUGUAGUCUAGAAGAAAUCCCAGGGUUGCAGGUUGCAGGUGAAUAGCUACAUGGGAAGUGAAGAUGAUCGAACUUCCUUCUAGACCCUGUGAGUCAAAUAGGAAGAACGCCGGUUGGAUUUUUUUUUCCUUUUCUUUUGAAACAAUGGGGAGCACGUGUCAUGUAAUUUUCAAGUCUUGUAUACAAAUGACGGCACUUCUCUGCUUGAGGUCUCGUCUUAAAGACAGGGCCUGUUUCCUAGAGCCUUUUCAUCACAAAGUGAAUCUGGAGCCUGCGAUUAGACUCCAGAGCUAUUUAACAGUGCCAGAGACAUGAGGGAACUUCCACAGCAUUUCCUUCAAGCAAGAUAAUAACUCUCCAAGGAGCAGCCUCCGCGUUGGGUCAACCCGACUCAGUGGGAAGAGCGCCACCUAUUGACCGUGGCCGCAGAGCGACGGCACCUGGCCACCCUUCCUGCUCGCCCCCACCCCCAGCUCCUUUCCCCAGAGAGCUGAGGAUAAUAAUAACCUUCUGAGGUGGUCUGAGGUUCACCUAAGUGUUUUCAUAUCACGCCUUAUAAUUUGAGGCAAACACAUGAAUUUAAAUCAGUUUUUCAAACAACCAGGCCUCUCUUCUCGUUUACUAGAAUGGGGGGAAAAAUCAGUUUUAUUACCUUAAGGAUGCCAAACAGUGCCAUUUUAUUACUGUGGGAAGCUGGAAGUCAUUUCCGAACUCUUUUGGCAAGGGCGCUAGGUAGAGCGUCCAAUUCAGCCCUUUAAGUGUCUUCUGAGAACCACCACACAGACUGUGAUUUACUGUCUGCGGGAGUUAAAGGGACCCUUUCUACCCUGAGACUGGAGAGAGAAAGGUGAAGCUUGUUUACCAAGCAUCCCAAUGAGACUUGCGAGACCAGGAGAGGACUCCGGAGCAGGAGGCAAAGACGUUUUGAGGACACACACUUUUUUUCAACAUAUAAUCCUUAUUAGGGGACAAAAACAUAUAUGUUGAAAGUUCUCCGAAGUUGUAGGAAUCUGCGUGUAUAUUGAUACAUGGGUCUUCGGCCAGAGUCACAUGCGUCUUAGAGUUUGUGAGGACGCGGUGUUUUCCCUCUCUCUCCCUCUCUCCCAAACAGGGUUUCAUACACGUCCAUGACAAUACAAGGUUGUAGCUAAAGAUACACAAAGAGAAGCAGGCACUGAGAGCCAGAGGAUUGGGGAGGAGGAUUAGGAGUUCAAAGUUAGUCUCUGCUACUGCGAGUCCAAGGUCAGCCUGGGCUUCUUGUGAUCUUGUCUCUAGACACACCUGAACAUACACAUUUAUACAUAUACACCUGUGUACAUAUAUACAUGUAUAUAUAUAUAUAUGCACAUAUAACCUUCAAACAACCGAAACCUAAAAAUAGCAUGCAUACAUAAUUAUAUAAGUAUGUUGUUUAUGUAUAAUAUAUACAUGCAUACUGUAUAUACAUAUAUACAGAUACAUAUUUUACAUAUAUAUAUAAAAUACACACAUUGUGAAGGUACCAAAGUUGCACUAACAUAUUCAAUGGGCUCAACGCAACUGGACAAGAGUCAGAAAGAUUUUUGCAUGUUACUCGAUUUGUAAGCAGAAGAUGGAAAGGCUCCAGUCAGCCUUGUUGCUGCUCACUAGUAACAAGCAGGGAUUUUAAUUUCUGUGUUCUGGGUUGACUCCGAUCCAGAGGGGCUGAUUUCAUGUAAUCUCAAAGACGUUAUCAUUGGUGUUAAUUAUAACACGUUCACACACAUAUCUUUCUGACCUUUAUGUUAUUUUGAGUGUGUGUGUGUGUUAGUGUGUGUGUGUUUGAGUGUGCGUGUAUGUUAUGUGUGUUUGAGUGUGUGUGUUAGAGUGCGUGUGUAUGUGUGUGUGUGUUUGAGUGUGUGUGUGUGUGUGUGUGUGUGUGUGUGUGUUAGGGGUGCAGGGGUUGGCUGGCUUGCCACUUCAUGUUGCCCGUAGUCAUAGCAUUAGGUCCCAGGAGUAAAGACACAGAGACAAACAAGAUAUUUAACUUGAGGACAUAUUAUGCUGCGUGUAACUAGCCUAGUGUUUGGCAUACAGUGGGCUCUGUUUAAAUAUCUAGAAAAUAAUAUCCAAUAAUGUUAAGUUAUGCAAUCACGAAAAUAAUUGUUCGGUCACUUAAAAGAUGAGAAGCUGUUUGCCAAUGUAAAAGAGUUUUGAUAAAAUUCAUUUUUAUUGACAAAACUCAGGACCACUGAUUUCAAGGAGACAGGCCAGUCUUCCCUCUGUGUUUUUCUGCUUUGAUGAUCACUGUCAAAAGGAGCUCUCCAAGAAGACUGUUGUUUCUUCCCUGUAGUAAACAGCUCAAAAUCUUUCAAGGGCAAUGCUUCUCCGAUAACAGCCUGCUUUUUUCUCUUUUUGUUUAUCUUGAUUAAGUGAGUAACCCGUCAAUUAAUUGUUGCAGCAUUGUGGAACAAACUUCUGGCCUUGGGCAUGCUAAGCGAGAGAGUGCCUACUGCUGGGUUACAUCCCUAGCCCUUAGCAGAAUGCUGUGUUCAUAAACCAUAAAACAAAACUAUCUGUAAAGGCAGCCUGAAGUUCGCACAUAUGUUUCUGUAGGUGAUAUCAUUUUCUUGCAAAGAUGCAGUUAUUAAUGAGAAAAUCAUUCUAUUUCAUCUAUUUUUGUUCUGCCAGGAGAGCUCUGUCACGGGGAGUAGACAUAAAUCACUGGAAAUUGUGUGCACUCUGCUUUUCAGCACUCAGAUGAUGUAUCUAUCCGAAAGUCGAACCUACACCCAGCAGGUUUAGGAUGUCGGAGUGCGUUCACUGUGGAAUCGGGUAAAGGUGACAGAGGUCAGGUUUUGCAGCAGCAUCUUUCAGAGCAGUGGCCAAGAGACAAGAAGGACCCCAUUUAGAGACAUCAAUGCAGGACAGACUCUUCAUGGUGUGGCGACUAGGGAACCCAAGGCCCCCUUUCCUGAUGGGGAGUAAGUGAUGCUGAAGGGAAGGAAGAAGAACUUCCCAAGAGCAAACAUAACCACUACCUUUUGAAUCAGUGCCAAUGGCUAUUCAAAAAAAAUAUGUUUUAGGAUGGGUCAAGAGUGUUUCUCUUUAUGAAAAAAAACAGGCGGUGUGCACCAUUUCCGGUAUUUGGUACCAUUUACUUUGUUUAUACCUGCCUCGCUCUAUCCAACUCUAACUCAACCAAAUAUGUGUGCCAUUUUAUUCCUUCUAUCUCUUCAUAAGUCUAAGACCCAAGGGGGUCAUGUGCUUUAUGCCUCAUUCACACACUAUUAGCUAAUGGCAGGAAGACACUGAGGUGGGAGUCUCCUCUCUCCCGUUGCUUGAAAGGGUCCCAUGGGACUGAGAAAUCAAAGCGGGUCGGCACAGUACAGGGGGACAGGAGCAAAUAACAGUUCAUUGAGGAUCGAGAGGCUUGUAAGUCACGUCUCUGGUUCUGGGAAGCCUGUCCCAAGAGCUCAAGUGUCAGAGGUAAGUGUUAAGAACUAGGGGAUGGCGAUGAGGACAGGUCGUUCAAGGCACAAGGUCUCGUGCAUGUAAAACGUCAUCCUUAGAGUUUAUUUCCAGUCACAAAGUCAAAAUGACAGUGUGAAGGAAGCGUCUCCUUGUCACACAAUGUGAAGUAAUGACAAUGUAGUAAGUUGACCCUUGCUCAUUCUGGUUGGUGACUUGGGAGAAGUCACUUAUCUGCUUCAGUUUCCUGUCUUGCAGAGUUAAGAAUGGCUGCCUAUCUCAGGGUGAAGACUAAAUGAAUUUAAACACGAGGAGCUGAAACGUAUGUGGAUUAAAAGAACAUCAUAACAGCACACUUGAUAUUUACUCUCAGAGUGAGAGAAGCAGGAAGUUGGUAAAGCCCAGUUGUGGUGCAUUGGUGAGGGUGUUUCUAGAGAGAAUUACUACUUGAGGUCAGAGAGUCACACCCUAAGAGUGGACUGCAGGACCCCAGGCUGGAGACCUGGGUGAGUCAAUGAAGAAGAGAAUGUGGGCCCUAGCCUGAUGGCCUGAAAGCUCAGAGACAGCCACAUUAGUUUUAUCUCCCUUCCCUUGUUUCCUUCGGGUAUUCCUCUCAGCCAAGUAAAGUCUCACAACUCUAAAUAGUAGUUGACUUUCCCUCAGAUUACAGUUGUACUAUUGAUGAGGAUUAUUGAUAACAACAUGAUCGUCCUUCGAGGACAUGUCACAAAGCUAUCAAAGUGGGGUUCACUGCACCUGGAAACCAUAGUCUUCAUCCUCCCUUAAACCUAAAACCUAUACAAGAUGGGAAAAAAUACUGGGAAUAAUGCAGGUGCCCCUCGUUCAAACUUUCUUUGCUACCCUCAGAUUGGGGCCUUCUAACAAGAUGCUUGCCGUGCACUGGCAUACAAACAGCACUGGUAUGUUUCUCACGGGUUGUUCUGAACAUCAAAUAUGGUGGUGUGCACAUGACUGGAAUCACCCGAAGUUCUGUUCCCUCACCCAAGAAAACCUGUCAGAGGUGAAGAGAAUGAAUAGAGGCUAAUCUAAGCAUUCUGAGGGAAAUAUCUUUCCCAAAAUACAGUCCAAGCUUGAGAGAUCACAUAUAAAUAGUCCCAUCUCCACGGGCCAGCUCUGGAAAACACUCUUGAACGUUACUGCCGACUUUGAUCGCCUCCCCUGGCGUCUCUGCCAGGCCUUGCUCUCGGCUGUGGCUAUUCUUAGCACACCCUUGGAUGAUACUGUAGCUUAGAUGUGGAUGGCUCCUCCAAUCACGCUGGAGGCAGUUAUAAUGGCACCUAAAACAGUCAUCUGGAGGAUGGACUAAGCGUGAUCACCUCCCGAAGUCUCUCUCUAAUGUGCAUAUAUAAUAGUAUAUAUUAUAUACAAUAUCACACAUGUCACUGUAAAAUUUUAUAUAUACAUAUAAAAUAAUCAUAUAUAUGUAAUAAUUAUAUAAUAAUUACAUAUAUAUGUAUAUAUGUAAAGCUUUCUUUUAUCCCACACUAGGGACAGAACUGUGGGGGCUGUUCUCUCCCUCUAGUCUCCUUCCCCUCUCUAAAACUUUUCUCCCACUCAUCCUUCCUUCUCGUCCAACGGCAGGCCUCAUUCUGUCUUGUACCUGCCUUCACAUGCAUAAUGACAUCAUCCUACACACACACACACACACACCCUCAUCUAUAAUCCUUAGAGAAACCCAAGAGAAGAUAGCAUAAGAGUAAUUGAGUAAGAAGCAUUGAACACGCUAACCUCUUUGCUGGGUAUAGAUCACAUGGACUAUUAAAGAUUGCUAAUCUUGUAUAAGAUAGAAAUUCAAACUAAAAAUAAAAAACCCCAAAUUAUAUAGGAAAACAGAUAUUGUUCCAGAUCUUUUUCUGGAAUUAUUUUUUUUAAUUGCAAAUAUUGUUUGAAGUCUCCGAAGCCAGUUGAUUUGAACAGUAUGUGCAGACCAGCUUUAAAUAAAUUGCUCAGAGCUCCAUGCCGUUAAAAUCUUUGGUCUCUCCAACAUCUUUGCUGUGUCUCUCUGAUAUACCAAUUACUUAAUACUGUUACAUCUAAGGCCAGGGUUCGUUAGUCUGCCUGAAGGCGCACAGAGGUUCCAAGCUUCUAUUUUUUAAAUUAUUUUUCCUUGCCUGCAACCUGAUUUCUUCUGGGUCUGACCUAAUUCCUUUGAUGCCCAGGGCUCGUAGGCCAGGACUAAUCUGGAGGAAAGGUGAGACAACUGAGAGAAAGGCUGAGGAGAGAGCGGCACCGGGAGCUGUGCUAUUCAAAGUCCAAACCAGCACGGUCAAAGAGAAUCGCGCAGGUUCUACCCUAGUUUGUAGAGAAGAACUCGACGCACUGUUUCUAACAUAGGCUUUUCCUCUAUCUUGGUUCUUUUAGGUAGUCAGCACUUUCCUGCUGGGGCAAAGUGUCGUGGGGGGAAUGCAGGAUUGGGGCACGAUAGCAAACUGCGAAUUGGUAGCAUGGCACCAUGAAACUCAAAGUAAGAAAAACGUCUGCUUAGAAAGAGCACUGUGGAAGCCAUCAUCAUGGAAAAGGUUUUCACAGAAGGGCAUAGAAAGGUCACGUGAUGCUCUCAGCUUUGUUCUUUGACUUCAGAACGUGCUGUGAUCCAGACUUUCCUGGACCUGUCCAUUUAUUUAUUGUACCUCUGGGUCUGUUCUCAGGAGCGGUUUCCCUUCGGGAAGCAGAUUCUUCUUACUGCUCAAAUAUGCUCCAGACAUCUUGUAGUCAUUAGGCGCCUAAGGCAGGGCCAAGGGGCAGAUUUUCCUAGCGUCUUCGCUCAUCUUGAUUUUGGAUUACUUUGAGUCUUGAAAAGCGGGAAAGUGACAUUUACCCUCCUUUGCUUACAAAUGGCGUAUCUCUUUGUUUGAAACGUGAAGGAAUCAUAAUUUUGCAUGGAUCUACAGAAAAGGGGUGGCUGCGGUGUCCACUUGCGAUCUGAUGAAUGAGGGCUUACAAAGCCAUCAUGACACCUGCCACGAUCAGAAGAGAGAUUCCACCUAAAGCAGGGAGAUUAGCAGUGGUGGGAACCAUUCUCAGCACAGUACCCUGCCUCACUAUGGGGAGAUUUUAUGUAUACACACCACCAAUGUCCAUAUUCAUAGAGUGCUUGGCUUCCCAACUUGAUAUUCACGUGGAAUCCAAGUUCAUGCUUGCUAGCCAUAUGAACAGUCUGUGUACUGUAUGUAAGCCAACAGGAGCCACCGAAUUUUGGAGCUCCACUCAGCCUGCUUUAGGUGCCUGACUGAUGCAGCUUCGUGUUUUGCUGAUUCUAAAACCUCAUCUUAGGCAUUUUAAAGACCAAUUUAUUCACAGGCUAUUUAUAAUGCUACUCGGUACAAAAUUUACUCUUUGUGUGUGUGUUUUUUUUUUCUGCAGUGAAUGGAAAAAAUAAAAAGAAAGAAAGAAGCAAAACGGAGGAACUCGACUGGCCCUGAGUUUUGGCACCAGAUGAAUGAAAUAAAGAAGUAAAAGAGAAAGAAUAGACUGCCCCUAGGUACCAUGAUUGUAGAUCAAAAGGAGACCAUAGCCAGAGGCUGGGGCAUCUUGGAGAGGCCGGAGUGGACUUGACCCUGAACCAGGCCAUGCAAAGAAAGGACAUGUUCAGGGAGAGGCAGAUCUGGAUGCCAGGAGGGUAAAGGGUAGAAAAGAAAAGACCAGGUAACCGAAAUGGUUGGAUUAUAUAGGGGAGGGGAGCUGGAGGGAGGGCUGCCUAGCCUCUGGGCUAUAGACGUUUAGGUGUAGCCAGCACCAGCGGGGCAGGCCCUGGAACAGGUAGGGACUGAGGGUUUCAGAGAGAACCUGGUGGCCAGCUCCUGCUUUGAUAUGCUAAUGGCCACCUUUUUCCUAGGUUAGAAACCCAGGUUUGCAUUGUGUACAUUUUCUUUUAUACUUUUCUAUUUGAGUAGUGUAUGCAGCAGUGAAAAGGGCCAAGUCCAGAAAAUAUUCCUAGAGGGAAGGAAGAACAGGAGUCAGGGAAGGGAUGAGAGAGGAAGAGGAGAGAAGAGAGGGGAGAUGUAAAACCAGUAACUCACAAUUUAUGAAUGUAGCAGGUUUCAUUAGUUGCAGAUAGAAUACUGGCAUAAGUUGGAAGGCAUAGGCAGGGUUGGCUGGGUAUUGUUGCUCUAUUUUAUUUAGCCUGAGCCCACAGAAUCAACAUUUAUACACUGAUGGAAAAUGUUGGCAGUUUGAUCUGUUUCCGAAAGAACUGGAAAGGUCACUUUAAAACAGCAACGCUCUAUGCCAUCUCCUAUUGAUACAAAGAACUAGAAGGUCGAUUAUUAGAGUGAGCUGGUGCGACUUUAUGUCGCUGGCCCCUCCCAUACAGACUACUGAGCACCCAAGAUCAGAAAAUCCAUCUUCAGUUUAGACCCAGGACCAUACCUUAGUUUAUCUGGCAGAGAUACCAGAAACCCCCCAUGUUUAGCCGGUUUACACUGCUUAGUUUUGAGAUCCAUUGUAGCACAUGUGUUGGGCAGGUAAAAGACAAAUUUGCAUCUGUAAACGUGUACACCCUUGGGGACAGCUGUAUUUAUGCACAGGUGAACCAGGAUCUUUGAGCAGUAAAUAUAUGCAGUUGACAUUUUUAUGCCUCUCAUUUUUUUAAAUAAAAUUAUUUUAAGCACAGUU